RNAcentral lists this ribosomal RNA (2836 nucleotides) under Roseibacillus sp. Its description in RNAcentral is "bacterial LSU rRNA". It matches the Rfam family "Bacterial large subunit ribosomal RNA". The record is from RNAcentral. Lineage: Bacteria; Pseudomonadati; Verrucomicrobiota; Verrucomicrobiia; Verrucomicrobiales; Verrucomicrobiaceae.
AAUCAAGCNGUUAAGGGCAUAGAGUGAAUGCCUUGGUGCCAACAGGCGAUGAAGGACGUGAUAAGCUGCGAUAAGCUUCGGAUAGCCGCACACAGGCUGUGACCCGGAGAUUUCCGAAUGGGGUAACCUGGCUNCAGUAAUAUGGAGUCGUUCCAUCCUGAAUAAAAUAGGGAUGGAUACGCGAUACCCGGUGAAGUGAAACAUCUCAGUAACCGGAGGAAGAGAAAACGAAUGUGAUUCCGUAAGUAGCGGCGAGCGAAAGCGGAACAGCCCAAACCGGGGCCUUUGGUCCCGGGGUUGUAGGGCUCCAAUGUGGCAUCCGGAACGUUAAGAGAAUUGGCUGGAAAGCCAUCCCAUAGAAGGUGACAGGCCUGUAAAUUAAAACGUGAAGGAGCCUAGGAUGUCCCUGAGUAGCGCAGCACACGUGAAACGUUGCGUGAAUCUGCCCCGACCACGGGGUAAGGCUAAAUACUAGUUGGCGACCGAUAGUGAACCAGUACCGUGAGGGAAAGGUGAAAAGUACCGCUGCGAGCGGAGUGAAAUAGAACCUGAAACCCUAUGCCUACAAGGUGUCAGAGCCCCUUCGGGGGUGAUGGCGUGCCUUUUGCUUAAUGAGUCUGCGAGUUACUCUCUGUGGCAAGCUUAAGGUCUUUUGGACCGGAGGCGGAGCGAAAGCGAGUCCGAAUAGGGCGAUUAGUUGCAGGGGGUAGACCCGAAGCGGAGGUGACCUACCUAUGGCCAGGUUGAAGCGUGAGUAAAAUCACGUGGAGGACCGAACCGUUGUGUGUUGAAAAACGCUCGGAUGAGCUGUGGGUAGGAGUGAAAGGCUAAUCAAACCCCGUGAUAGCUGGUUCUCUCCGAAAUGCAUUUAGGUGCAGCGUCACGUGCUGAAGGAUGGGGGUAGAGCACUGAAAGGGCUAGGGGGCAUACCCGCCUACCAAACCCUAUCAAACUCCGAAUACCAUCCGGUGGAGCGUGGCAGUGAGACAGUGGGGGAUAAGCUUCAUUGUCGAAAGGGAAACAGCCCAGAUCAGCAGCUAAGGUGCCUAAAGUACGCUAAGUGGAAAGGAGGUGGAGUCUCACAGACAGUGAGGAUGUUGGCUUAGAAGCAGCCACCAUUUAAAAAAAGCGUAACAGCUUACUCAUCGAGAGACUCUGCGCCGAAAAUGAUUGGCGAUAAGCGUGCUACCGAAGCUCUGGAUGUCAUCCUUAGGGAUGGCGUGGUAGGAGAGCGUUCCCAGUGCAGCGAAGGGUGAUGGCGACUGACCCUGGAGCGCUGGGAAGUGAGUAUGCAGACAUGAGUAACGAUAAGACCGGUGAAAUCCCGGUCCGCCGUAAACCCAAGGUUUCCCGGGCAACGUUUUUCGUCCCGGGGUUAGUCGGGACCUAAGCCGAGGCCGAUAGGCGUAGGCGAUGGAAAGCAGGUCAAUAUUCCUGCACCUCCGACCCUUAAACUGGGGGGACGCGGUUUGAAAAGUGACUAGGUUAUUGAAUUCCGAGAUGCGGCUACGGCCAAUUCGUAUCACCAGACAAACUGCCAAGAAAAGCCCCAGCAUAUGCUAAGGAGCCCGUACCGUAAACCGACACAGGUGGGUGGGUAGAGUAUACCAAGGCGCAAGAGUGAAACCUGGUCAAGGAACUCGGCAAAAUAGCUCCGUAACUUCGGGAUAAGGAGUGCCCCCUUCUGGGGGGUCGCAGUGAAAUGGCCCAUCCGACUGUUUAGCAAAAACACAGCAUUGUGCUAAGGCGUAAGCCGACGUAUACGAUGUGACACGUGACCAAUGCCAAAAGAUUAAGGUAAGGUGUUAGCCCUCGUGGCGAAGCUCUGAGCCCAAGUCCUGGUGAAUGUCGGCCGUAACUAUAACGGUCCUAAGGUAGCGAAAUUCCUUGUCGGGUAAGUUCCGACCUGCACGAAUCGUGCAACGAGAUGGGCGCUGUCUCGACCAGGAGCUCAGUGAAAUUGUAACACCGGUGAAGAUGCCGGUUACCUGCAGAAGGACGGAAAGACCCUAUAGACCUUAACUGUAAGCUGUUACUGGUUAUUUGAUUUCAAUGCUCAGCAUAAGUGGGAGGCUUUGAAGCGGCGUUUUAGGGCGUCGUGGAGCCACCAGUGAGAUACCACCCUUUGGUAUUGGAUGAUCUAACCCCGAGCCGUUAUCCGGCCGGGGGACCCUGGCAGCCGGUCAGUUUUACUGGGGCGGUAUCCUCCUAAAGAGUAACGGAGGAGCGCGAAGGUGGGCUCAGCGCAGUUGGCAACUGCGUGUCGAGUGUAAAGGCACAAGCCCGCCUAACUGUGAGACCUACAAGUCGAUCAGAUACGAAAGUAGGCCUUAGUGAUCCGGCGGUUGAAUGUGGAAUUGCCGUCGCUCAACGGAUAAAAGGUACCUUAGGGAUAACAGGCUGAUCGCGCCCAAGAGUUCAUAUCGACGGCGCGGUUUGGCACCUCGAUGUCGGCUCGUCGCAUCCUGGGGCUGGAGAAGGUCCCAAGGGUCCGGCUGUUCGCCGGUUAAAGCGGCACGCGAGCUGGGUUCAGAACGUCGCGAGACAGUUCGGUCCUCUAUCCUCUGUGGGCGUAGGAGAAUUGAGGGGUUCACUUUCUAGUACGAGAGGACCGAAAGUGACGCACCUCUGGUGUACCAGUUGUUCUGUCAAGAGCAUUGCUGGGUAGCUAAGUGCGGAAGAGAUAAGCGCUGAAAGCAUCUAAGCGCCAAGCUCCUCCCAAGAUGAAUUCUCCCUGAGGAUCGUGGUAGACCACCACGUUGAUAGGCUGGCGGUGUAAGUGCAGUAAUGCAUUCAGCUCACCAGUACUAAUCAUCCAAUUGGCUUGAUUCCUCUC